GACGAACGCUGGCGGCGUGCUUAACACAUGCAAGUCGAACGGAAAGGCCCUGCUUUUGUGGGGUGCUCGAGUGGCGAACGGGUGAGUAACACGUGAGUAACCUGCCCUUUACUUUGGGAUAACUUCAGGAAACUGGGGCUAAUACCGGAUAGGAGCUCCUGCUGCAUGGUUGGGGUUGGAAAGUUUCGGCGGUUGGGGAUGGACUCGCGGCUUAUCAGCUUGUUGGUGGGGUAGUGGCUUACCGAGGCGUUGACGGGUAGCCGGCCUGAGAGGGUGACCGGCCACAUUGGGACUGAGAUACGGCCCAGAGUGCUACGGGAGGCAGCAGUGGGGAAUAUUGCACAAUGGGCGGAAGCCUGAUGCAGCAACGCCGCGUGCGGGAUGACGGCCUUCGGGUUGUAAACCGCUUUCGCCUGUGACGAAGCGUGAGUGACGGUAAUGGGUAAAGAAGCACCGGCUAACUACGUG
RNAcentral lists this ribosomal RNA (468 nucleotides) under uncultured bacterium. RNAcentral describes it as "partial 16S ribosomal RNA". It matches the Rfam family "Bacterial small subunit ribosomal RNA", at positions 28 to 507 of the family's 1533-position model. The record is from RNAcentral.